GGGCCGCCCAAGCCCCCGGCGCGGGGCGGGAACCGGGAAUGCGGGCAGGGACCGGGAAUUCCGGCAGAGACUGGGAAUUCCGGCAGGAACAAAGGAAUUGGGGCAGGGACUGGGAAUGCGGGCAGGUACCGGGAGCCCGGGCAGGUCAUGGAUCCCGGGCAGUGCAUCUGAAGAAAAAGACAUAAAAGUUUUGUGACUGAGAAAAUAAGAGCAAAGCCAAGACUCCUAUUUACCUCAUUAUGUUGCUCUCUUAAGUGAAUAAUUAAUAGGAGAUCUGAACCUCUGUGAAGUAACUUUAUACUUAUGAGCAGAAGAGGAGCCACUGAAAGUUGAAGAAUAUCAAUACAGAAAUCUAAUCUUUGUGAAUCAUGCAAGCUGGCAAGGACGUCUGUAUCAGCUUCAGUCUGAGAAACAGGUCUGUUCUAUAGGUGGCACUUAACAAUCUACUUCACUUUAGCAUGUGCUUAAUUUUGCUGAUUUGAGUGACCUUGCUUAGGAAUUAAACAGGCAGGAUUUGACCCUUGACAAGACAAGAAAUUAGGCAUCUCAGGAAGUUCCAUGUUCCCCGUUUUUUGAUUAGUUGGUUAGCCCUGUUAAUUAACACUUUCAUUUCCAUUGCACUGUCCACACAGUCUUUUUCCUUUGACUGUGAUAGUUUCCUACCUGCUGUUCUGCAGAGUUUGAUGAAAAUUCAGCUGCUGUGAGGAACAUGUGGCAUCAACAGUCUGUGAUGACUCAACAGCUGGCAGAUGGCCCUAUGCUUUUGCUGAGUAAGCUGUUAUUCCUGAGUUUGCAAUUUAAUGGCUUAUAUUUUGCUAGAAAAAUUUAUACCAUGGUGUGGCAAGUAAAGAGAAGUCACAAUAACUCUCACAUUUCUCCUACCUAUCGUUUUUUUUUUCCUGGUUUUGUACCAGACUAAAAUAAGACUUUAAAGCAGUGGUCUCUUUUUCAACAUCUGAGAAUCUCUCAUACAUCUGUUUCUUUGAGGUAUUUCUAACUAAUACAUUGAAUUAUAAAGGACAAAAGAAAGAACCUGAUGUUAUUUUUUAAAAUGAUUAUAAUAGAAAAUAUUAUGAAUGAGGAGCUAUGCCUUUGUAGAAGUAGCAAUUUUUGCUGGACUGAAUUUCUGUCUCAGAAUUCUCAGACCUUUCAGUCUGAGACCUUUUUUUUACUAUCAGUAGAAACACUGCACUGUACAAUAGGAAAUAAAAUAAAGAUUUCACAAGGUUUUACAUUUUUCUUUACCCAGAUACACUAAAUUUUUAUCUUAAUCUUGAAAUAUUGUAACAAGGCAUGGGAUUAUCUUAAAAAGAGCUUAGUCUGCUGCUACCUCCAUAUUUGCAAAGAAACUUAGAAAACCCAGCCUGGGAAACCUUAUUUUAAUAUAGUUCUGAGUAUACAGUUCAUUACUGUCACUAAGACACUCAGAUUUAGCUUGACUUAAAUGUCAGAAAAUAUUAUUCAGGUGUGGAAGACACCAAAGAUCACAGCUAACUGGUAUAUUGAAUCUUAAUUAGCAGGGAGACCAUAUCAAACUCAGAAGCUUCUAUGAACUAAGAAAACAACCCUGACAUUCUCUGCUCAGCUCUGGAUAUUUGUUACUGACUUUGAUCUCCAGUGAUAAUCUCCAAAGACUCAGGAUUCUGGCUUGCUUAAAAAUUGGGUUUACUUUCAAACUUUGCUGUGAAGACAUUAUUACCAUAUAACUGGAGGGACUGGAACCUCAUAAAAAGUGCUUUAUUUCCCAUUAUGAGAGUUAGAGUUUAGGCAACACCAUUACAUAAAGCAAAGCUUGUUUCUUCUCUGCAGCUCAGUUUACUUAGUAUUUAAUAUAUUCUGUGCAUUGACACUGUGUCCUGUUUUGUUUUUUUUUUUUUAACAAUCAUAGGGUUUUUUGUUGGUCCCAUUAUGUUGAGAAAAUAUCACAAUAUUUUUAAAAGAUAUAAUAAACAAAUAGUUGUGAAAUGGCCUAAUGCAUUAUUCUUUGCCUGAGUUAGGACCACAGUUCACAUCAAAGUUAAUGGACUCAUCUGACAACUAGAAAAAAACCCAGUUUUUUCUUUUAGGUUUUCUUCUUGGAUAUUUGUUCUUGGCAGGAUUAUUUCUUAUUAAAUUGUUCUUUUUCCUAAUCUCAGAAGGGACACAUGCAGUGAGUGAACAAGCAGACUUUGUAGCUCAUGCAUCUGAACUGCAGCUAAUAAAAUGCAGACUCUCUUGCUGAAAUUGCAGCUAAAUUUGCAUUUUUAAGAAGUCUGUUGUCAUGACUAAUUACAUAAUUUCACUUUUUUAAAUGAGAACAUUAUGGGAACAACCUGUGCAAGACUGCCUCAAACUUCAGAUUAUUUGGACUCUUAUUAUGGUAAAGUUUAUGAAUUUACGAUGUGAUCUUGAAAAAUACUUUAGAUGCUCAGAAGCCUGAGGUGAGUUUAGCUUUUAUUUGAGAUGACCACAUUAAAUGUUAUCUCAUACUUCUGUUGUAAUUUUAUUGGCAUCACAUCACCUGUGUUAUAAAAAAAUUAUUGGGGUAUCAGAAUCUAUUUCUUUCUUCCUGACGUUUCCAUUGUUAUGAAAACCAAAGUUGAAAUCUCACAUCAAAGA
Long non-coding RNA from Pseudopipra pipra, 2598 nucleotides. RefSeq lists it as uncharacterized. The transcript is spliced from 4 exons. Lineage: Eukaryota; Metazoa; Chordata; Aves; Passeriformes; Pipridae. The record is from RefSeq and is a predicted model, not a curated record.